RNAcentral lists this ribosomal RNA (687 nucleotides) under Trueperella pyogenes. RNAcentral describes it as "bacterial SSU rRNA". It matches the Rfam family "Bacterial small subunit ribosomal RNA", at positions 810 to 1497 of the family's 1533-position model. The record is from RNAcentral. Lineage: Bacteria; Bacillati; Actinomycetota; Actinomycetes; Actinomycetales; Actinomycetaceae.
UGGGAUAGGUGUGGGGCCUUUUCCACGGGUUCUGCGCCGUAGCUAACGCUUUAAGUGCCCCGCCUGGGGAGUACGGCCGCAAGGUUAAAACUCAAAGGAAUUGACGGGGGCCCGCACAAGCGGCGGAGCAUGCGGAUUAAUUCGAUGCAACGCGAAGAACCUUACCAAGGCUUGACAUACACUGCGAUGUGCCAGAGAUGGUGCAGCCUUCGGGGUGGUGUACAGGUGGUGCAUGGUUGUCGUCAGCUCGUGUCGUGAGAUGUUGGGUUAAGUCCCGCAACGAGCGCAACCCUUGUCCUGUGUUGCCAGCAUGUUGUGGUGGGGACUCACGGGAGACUGCCGGGGUUAACUCGGAGGAAGGUGGGGAUGACGUCAAAUCAUCAUGCCCCUUAUGUCUUGGGCUUCACGCAUGCUACAAUGGCCGGUACAGAGGGUUGCGAGCCUGCAAGGGUGAGCUAAUCCCUUAAAGCUGGUCUCAGUUCGGAUUGGGGUCUGCAACUCGACCCCAUGAAGUCGGAGUCGCUAGUAAUCGCAGAUCAGCAACGCUGCGGUGAAUACGUUCUCGGGCCUUGUACACACCGCCCGUCACGUCACGAAAGUUGGUAACACCCGAAGCCCGUGGCCUAACCUUUGUGGGGGGAGCGGUCGAAGGUGGGAUUGGCGAUUGGGACGAAGUCGUAACAGGGU